CAAUCCCUGGGUGCCCCAGUCUGUAUGCCAAAUACAAGCAAGACACUGACCCUGAGCAGCUGUCCGAUGCAUUCAUCAGACUGUUAGAUAUAAAGUGUUUGCAUGAACUCAUGUGAAUGAGGCAUGUCGUAUGAAGGGCCGAGUCCAUCUACCAAAGCAAAUAUUUAUUUUCUGUGAAACCUUUCAGCCAAGAUAAGACACUCACUUCAGAACUCCGCUGGGAAAUUUCAAAAAAUGUGGGGACCCUUCCUUGAUGCUUUUCAAAAUCUAUAAGAAUUUUUCAGCAAACUCUCUUAAGUCAGGUGUGGAAAUGCAGUGUGCGAGUGCAGGCAGUGACCUGGGUGGGAAUGAAUGGGAUUGUUUUGCAAGGAAUUAUGUUACUUUGGGAUAUAUUAUACAUUUGUUUAUAUUUUUAUCUUUGUUUCCCUUUUUUCUUUUUCUUCUUUCCUUUUAUUUCACAGCCGAAGAUACAUUUCUGAACUCAUUUCACAGCUUAAAUGUACUACUUAACCUUAAUGUACAGAUCAUCUGUAAUCCUUCUCUUUUCUUUCUGUUUAUAUGUAUAAUAUAUAUGUUGAUGCUUAUGUGUAUAAAAGGAAACCUCUUAAUAAAAAAAGACAUUGUUUAAAAAACCUUUCAGCCAGUUUGACUUUGACCGGUCAUAUUUAUUUAUUUUUCUUUUUAUAUUUUAUUUUUAAAACUAGUUAAAAUGAGUUGUACGACUGAAGCUGAACCCCUGCCCAGCUGAGCUUUCAUAUUACAGGAAUUAUAGAGUACUUACAAAAACAUCAGACAACAUCCAGGUGGCGUGAGUAACUAAAAGUAAGGUUUUCAUGCUGUUUACUUGAUGUUGGUAUUUGCACUUGGGGUAAACACUUGAGGGCAAAUUAACAUCAGGCACUAAAAUAACCUCACUGAUGCUACUGUCAGCCCCCCCCCCCGGGCAUUUCAAUCUGAUCAGUUUUACACUGGACGUCCUUCCCGAUGCGACCCCAGGGAAAUGCACGUCUUGUCGUCCUUUCUCCAACGCCUCCUGUUGGAGUUUGUCAGGAGGUUAAAUGGCCGCAUGCUCCUGUUAGCAAGAUCAACUGUGAUUUUAUUAGAAUGAUCUGCAGUAAACAUCAUUAUGAACUCUGAGUCAGAG
Long non-coding RNA from Astatotilapia calliptera (eastern happy), 1144 nucleotides. The record is from Ensembl. Lineage: Eukaryota; Metazoa; Chordata; Actinopteri; Cichliformes; Cichlidae.